RNAcentral lists this ribosomal RNA (204 nucleotides) under uncultured Bacteroidota bacterium. RNAcentral describes it as "uncultured Bacteroidetes bacterium partial 16S ribosomal RNA". It matches the Rfam family "Bacterial small subunit ribosomal RNA", at positions 292 to 493 of the family's 1533-position model. Lineage: Bacteria; Pseudomonadati; Bacteroidota. The record is from RNAcentral.
CUGAGAGGAAGGUCCCCCACAUUGGAACUGAGACACGGUCCAAACUCCUACGGGAGGCAGCAGUGAGGAAUAUUGGUCAAUGGACGAGAGUCUGAACCAGCCAAGUAGCGUGAAGGAUGGCUGCCCUAUGGGUUGUUAACUUCUUUUAUACGGGAAUAAAGUUAGCCACGUGUGGCAUUUUGUAUGUACCGUAUGAAUAAGGAU